Molecule: long non-coding RNA, 4403 nt
Organism: Nothobranchius furzeri (turquoise killifish)
Lineage: Eukaryota; Metazoa; Chordata; Actinopteri; Cyprinodontiformes; Nothobranchiidae
Source: RefSeq, a predicted model, not a curated record
CAGUCACCUCUGAAGCUGCCUCACUUACUGAGGAAGAAGAAAUCGCAUUAGGGAGGAUGCUAAAGAUUUUGUUUCUAAUAGAAUUAAUUUUACUUGUAAAAAAAAUCCCAUGAAGUCAUUGCUGCUGCGGGCUAAGGGAAUAGAUGGCUCAGAGCUAUGAUUCUGUGUAAGUUUAGCAACUGUACUGAAAAGAAAUUUAGGAUUAUGCUUAUUCUCCUCAAUUAAUGCUGAAAAAUAAGCAGUUCUAGUUUGUUGAAGCUUAUUUUAAUAAAGCACAAGACUAUUUUUCCAGGAUUGGUAGGCUUCCUCAUGGUGCGUAGAGCGCCAUGUUCUCUCCAAUUUCCUAGAGUUUUGUUUUAAGGCUCGUAAAUGAGAGUUAAACCAGGGAGCCAACUUCCUGUCCCUAAUUACCUUCUUUUUUAAAGGGGCUACAUCAUCUAAUGCCACACGUAAAGAGGAAUUAACAUGAUGAACUAAGGCAUCAAUUUGUGAGGGGCUAGAACUGAAAAUAUUGCCCUCUGUUACGUUCCUCUGAGAUGCUGAGGACAGUAAAGAUGGAACAGUUGAUUUAAAAGACGCAACUGCGUUGUCAGAUAGAGACCGACUAUAGUGAAAUUUACUUUCAUGUCUCGAGAACUCAGUUAUAAAAAACUCAAAGGUUAUCAGAAAGUGGUCCGAGAGGACUGGAUUAUGUGGAAAGAUCGUUAUUUCCUCACACUCAAUGCCAUAAAUCAGCACAAGGUCCAAUGUAUGAUGGCAGGAGUGGGUGGAGCUAUGUAUUCUUUGAGUGAAACCAAUUGAGUCUAAGAUAUUACUGAAGGCUACAUUGAGGCAAUCAUUUUCAAUGUCCACGUGAAUGUUGAAAUCCCCCUCUAUAAUGACCUUAUCAGUAUUUAGCACCAAAUCGCCUGGUGGACGAUAUAAAACUACAAACAAGAGUGGUUUUACAGUUUUGCAAUCUGGAUUAGGAAAACUAAGAAUAAGAUGUUCAAACGAACUGUAAUCUGUAAGGGACUGAUUAAUAAGUCCGAAUGAAAAAUGGUUGCUACUCCUCCUCCUCGCCCUGUACUUCGAGCAAUAUGAUGAUUUAAAUAAUUUGAAGGAGUCGACUCGUUUAAAGGAGCAUGGGGCAGGAAUUGUCCAAAAACAAAAAGUACAUGUUCAUUCUUGUGAAGCUUAUGGGUGAUGAAGCAUUUUAAACUAAAAAGAAUGAUGAAACCAGUUUAUCAUUCCAUUUUGUUAAUCACGCUGUGUGCUGCAAAAUGCAAAACAUUCCUGAUCCGAAUUUCCUGCGCUGUUUUACGGAUAUGACGUUAAUUGACGCUUCAAGCGCGUUCUCGACAAGGUUCAAACCCGGAAAAACAUUUGGAAGCUUGCUAGGUGGCGGUAAUGCGUCUUUCACUACUAGCCACGUUAAAACCUCAAACAGAAGAGGAAGAACCCUGGAAAUGGAUUCUACAACUAGCAAACGACCAAGCGCAACUCAAAGCCCACUAAAGUGGCACAAAGAAGAAGGUUUUAUCAGCGGCAUCUCGAGAGUCAAAAAGAAAAUAUGAUAAAAGUCGGUCAGGGACCCGAAUAUCUAUUGGUUACGCUCUGGAAGAAUGGAGGCUGCUUCAACUGGAUUUGGGCCUGAAAAAGGAUGCGGACAUGGCACAUUUUCUAGUGACCAGCUACCAGAAGAAGCAGGCUCCUGAAACUGCAAUUCAGGGAGGUAAUGUGCAGUCAACCUCAACACCCAGUAAGAGAACAGCAGCUAAAAUGUUGCAUCGAUUAUCUCCAACUGAACCUGUGUCUGAGGGGGAAGAUUUUCUAAUGGCUGGUGUUGAGGCCUUAGCUUAUGACCUAGAUUUGGAUCCUUUUGAAGAAAGGUAAAUAUGUUCAUGAGAAGUCUUGCCAUAUACGCAGGAAAUUACUGCUGUACUAUGUGCAAAAAAGAUAAAAACACAACAGAUCAGCAAAUAUAGGUCAUUAUAUAUAUUUAUGUUGUGAAGUGUCAAUUCACAGCAGAUUGUUGUUAUUUGCAGAAAGAAUUAAUGACAGAUGUAUUAGGCUCCACAUUUAUCUCUUUAGAAUCAGUACCAUUUCAGGUAAGUUCCAGUAUUUAUCUUUACGUACAACAAAUAUUAUUGUGUUGUCUGUAGUUUCAAAUCCAUGGAUCUAGCUAAUGAUGCAGUCCAAAUUGAUGAGGACCAAGCAAACAACUUAAUCAACAGUGUGUGAGUUGCAAUGUCUUCUUAUCUAGGGGUGGGCAAUAUAAACGAUAUAAGGUAGAAAUGAUAUAAAAUUGGGUAAUUUUACGGCCCCCAGCUCGUCUAGGAGAUGAUGUUAAAGGGGGCGUAAAGAAAGAUAUGUGAAUUACUGGACAAAACCAAGAUUUACUCUCUUAGAGGAGUUCAGGGCUGGACUGGGACAAAAAUUCAGCCCGGGCAUUUUGACUGGAGACCGGCCCAUCACCUGUUUUUUUUUGGAAAAGACAUUAAGCCUUACGCUGUUUCUGACACACACCAACGUACACUUUCUUAUUGGUAGUAUUUAUGUAUCAAUCUAAUAAACGUAAACCUACACCAUCCUUCCUAUCCUGGUAUUCUAAAAAGUAGGGUUGGGGGUAACUGAUUAUUUUUAAAAUGAUUAUUCUGACGAUUAUUUUAUCGAAUAGUCGACUAUUCUAAUGACUAUUUAGAUGAUUAAUCUAGCGAUUACUUUUCUAUUGCACAAUUACUAAAAACCAAAAAAUUCUCAAAUAAAUUCCUCCAAAAAAUUGAUAAGUCGUUACUGUAAGAGAAUAAACACUACAGGCCUUCCAUUUUGUAUAACACUGCUUUUAUUAUGUUGCGGUUGUUUAUGUUCUGGUGACGUGUAGAACUUGGGAGUGCAGGCUGCUGCCUGAGAGGUGGUUGGAGACGGAGUGUCUCCAUGCUGCUUUGUUUUGUUCACUUAUGUGCAUGAGGCAAGUGGUGUUACGACCCUUCCUGGGGAGUCACGUGUUUCUCCUAUUUUAACUGUAAAUCCUUCUUGCUGUUAUAUUUAUAACAAGAAACAGAUAUUCGGACAGAAAAUUUUCACGUUUAUUCGAAUAUGAUUGUGGAACACACCCAGCAUCAUAAUAAAUGAAGUAAUGUUUAUGCCAAUUUAAGCCUUUAUGGGUGACCAGGACUCUGUGAUCAAUUUUUGGCAAGGGAAAUUAUCAUUUGUUGCCAUUUUUGAGGUGUUUAUGAAUGUGGAAGACACCCAGCAUCCUGUGAUGACACUAAUAACAUCAAGAGAUAAUAAAUAAGGUAAUAUUUAGGUCAAUUUAACCCUUUACACGUGACCAGGACACUGUAAUCAAUUUUUGGCAAGGGAAAUGAUCAUUUGUUGCCAUUUUUGAGGUGUUUAUGAAUGUGAAAGACACCCAGCAUCCUGUGAUGGCACUAAUAACAUCAAGAGAUAAUAAAUAAGGUAAUAUUUAGGUCAAUUUAACCCUUUACACGUGACCAGGACACUGUAAUCAAUUUUUGGCAAGGGAAAUGAUCAUUUGUUGCCAUUUUUGAAGUGUUUAUGAAUGUGAAAGACACCCAGCAUCCUGUGAUGGCACUAAUAACAUCAAGAGAUAAUAAAUAAAGUAAUAUUUAGGUAAAUGUAACCCUUUACAGGUGACCAGGACACUGUAAUCAAUUUUUGGCAAGGGAAAUUAUUUUUUUUUUUCUUUUUUUCUGUGCCAUUUUUGGGGUGUUUAUGAUGAUACAGUAGGCAGUAUGAGUACAGUAACAUCAACAGAUAAUACAUAAAACCCUUAUUUGGUCAAUUUUAGUCUCCAUGAAAAUCUUAGCAAUUCGAUCACUUUUUGGCAAGUAAAAUGCCAUUUUAGUUGUCUACAAUUAAAUCAUCAAUAAAGAAUUUAAAGAUAUUUUGAGGCAUUUCUUAUAGGUAAACGGGAGGGUGUAGUCUAUUUGGCAAGUGACAAUCUUAAUUUUAUGUGCUGAAGUGCUUUUAUCUUGUUACUUUUAAAUAGAGCAACGUAAUGAAUAGUAACCUACACAGUGUCAUUAAAGCCAAAGCUUGAUCAUUUUAAAUACUUUUUUUCAAGUAAAAAUGUGCCCCAAACUAGUUAACUGUGGCUCCAUGUCAAGUGGACUAAAGAAAGGAAGGGGAAAAAAAAUUAAAUCGCUGGAGAAUUGUUUAUUUCCAUUUAUACAACGUUUACAUUCAAUACAGGGUACCAUUUUACAUUGUUUAUUUAUUUUUUUAGUAUCAAGGCUGUAACAUAAAGAAAGCCAGUUCUUACCACAAAGUUUGUGGCACAAACCAUCUUUCAAUCGCAAAUAUUGCAAAAAUGAUUAAUAUAUCCUCAUUGUGAAAGUUUAAGACAAAUAGCAACACUUAAAACAACUUCCGAACUGGAAAAACUAAUAUGGCAAGGU